RNAcentral lists this ribosomal RNA (276 nucleotides) under uncultured prokaryote. Its description in RNAcentral is "partial 16S ribosomal RNA". It matches the Rfam family "Bacterial small subunit ribosomal RNA", at positions 524 to 798 of the family's 1533-position model. The record is from RNAcentral.
UACGUAGGGUGCGAGCGUUGUCCGGAAUUAUUGGGCGUAAAGAGCUUGUAGGCGGUUUGUCGCGUCUGCUGUGAAAACUCGGAGCUUAACUCCGGGCGUGCGGGCGAUACGGGCAGACUUGAGUACUACAGGGGAGACUGGGGUUCCUGGUGUAGCGGUGAAAUGCGCAGAUAUCAGGAGGAACACCGGUGGCGAAGGCGGGUCUCUGGGUAGUAACUGACGCUGAGGAGCGAAAGCAUGGGGUAGCGAACAGGAUUAGAUACCCCCGUAGUCCCU